This is a non-coding RNA of Phrynosoma platyrhinos (Desert horned lizard), 71 nucleotides long. Lineage: Eukaryota; Metazoa; Chordata; Lepidosauria; Squamata; Phrynosomatidae. The record is from the annotation of a GenBank genome assembly.
GCCAGCAUGGUACAGUGGUUUGAGCAUCAGACUACAACUCUGAAGAUUAGGGUUCAAUUCCCAGCUUGGCC